GGAUUAGCUAGUUGGUGAGGUAAGGGCUCACCAAGGCGACGAUCCCUAGCUGGUCUGAGAGGAUGAUCAGCCACACUGGAACUGAGACACGGUCCAGACUCCUACGGGAGGCAGCAGUGGGGAAUAUUGCACAAUGGGCGCAAGCCUGAUGCAGCCAUGCCGCGUGUGUGAAGAAGGCCUUCGGGUUGUAAAGCACUUUCAGUCGUGAGGAAGGUGGUGUAGUUAAUAGCUGUAUCAUUUGACGUUAGCGACAGAAGAAGCACCGGCUAACUCCGUGCCAGCAGCCGCGGUAAUACGGAGGGUGCGAGCGUUAAUCGGAAUUACUGGGCGUAAAGCGCAUGCAGGUGGUUUGUUAAGUCAGAUGUGAAAGCCCGGGGCUCAACCUCGGAAUUGCAUUUGAAACUGGCAGACUAGAGUACUGUAGAGGGGGGUAGAAUUUCAGGUGUAGCGGUGAAAUGCGUAGAGAUCUGAAGGAAUACCGGUGGCGAAGGCGGCCCCCUGGACAGAUACUGACACUCAGAUGCGAAAGCGUGGGGAGCAAACAGGAUUAGAUACCCUGGUAGUCCACGCCGUAAACGAUGUCUACUUGGAGGUUGUGGCCUUGAGCCGUGGCUUUCGGAGCUAACGCGUUAAGUAGACCGCCUGGGGAGUACGGUCGCAAGAUUAAAACUCAAAUGAAUUGACGGGGGCCCGCACAAGCGGUGGAGCAUGUGGUUUAAUUCGAUGCAACGCGAAGAACCUUACCUACUCUUGACAUCCAGAGAACUUUCCAGAGAUGGAUUGGUGCCUUCGGGAACUCUGAGACAGGUGCUGCAUGGCUGUCGUCAGCUCGU
Molecule: ribosomal RNA, 833 nt
Filed under: Vibrio sp.
Lineage: Bacteria; Pseudomonadati; Pseudomonadota; Gammaproteobacteria; Vibrionales; Vibrionaceae
Description: bacterial SSU rRNA
Rfam family: Bacterial small subunit ribosomal RNA
Source: RNAcentral